UCUCUGGAUUUUUUUAUUUGACACCCAUAUCGGCUAGGUUUGAAAUUUUCGGAUUUUGGGCUGAAUUCAAGCUGAAUUCAGGCCGAAUUCAGGCCCAAAGCUAAGCUUUCAGAGGGG
Caenorhabditis elegans is the source of this 117-nucleotide non-coding RNA. The record is from Ensembl. Lineage: Eukaryota; Metazoa; Nematoda; Chromadorea; Rhabditida; Rhabditidae.